CUUCAAAAUGUAUUUAUUGAAUAGUUGAACAUCUUAGUGCUGGAAUUGUUUUUUUCCCCUCCCUCUGUGCAUGCCUAUAUUUCUUAUUUAAAAAGUAGAACAAACUUUAGAUCAAGAGAUACAAAUGUUGGCUUUAGCCUUGGAUAGGUCACUUUAUAUCUGUGUGAACUUGGAUGGUCAAAUAUGUCUGUGUAAGAAUGGCUAUAUUAAAGAAGAAACCCUGUAAUUUCAUUCAAAUAAUGAGAUACUUCAAACAUCCCAGUUGGCCAACACACUUCUUGACUUAUUAAGGAGGGUGAGGAAGAAAUCAUCUUUACCUGGGGAUAUGAUAUAGAAGAAAUCUUUAAAUUCAUCCAUCCAAACUUCUGC
Long non-coding RNA from Zalophus californianus (California sea lion), 369 nucleotides. RefSeq lists it as uncharacterized. The record is from RefSeq and is a predicted model, not a curated record. The transcript has 3 exons. Lineage: Eukaryota; Metazoa; Chordata; Mammalia; Carnivora; Otariidae.